This 468-nucleotide ribosomal RNA is filed under the name uncultured bacterium. RNAcentral describes it as "partial 16S ribosomal RNA". It matches the Rfam family "Bacterial small subunit ribosomal RNA", at positions 28 to 507 of the family's 1533-position model. The record is from RNAcentral.
GACGAACGCUGGCGGCGUGCUUAACACAUGCAAGUCGAACGGAAAGGCCCUGCUUUUGUGCGGUGCUCGAGUGGCGAACGGGUGAGUAACACGUGAGUAACCUGCCCUUGACUUUGGGAUAACUUCAGGAAACUGGGGCUAAUACCGGAUAGGAGCUCCUGCCGCAUGGUGGGGGUUGGAAAGUUUCGGCGGUUGGGGAUGGACUCGCGGCUUAUCAGCUUGUUGGUGGGGUAGUGGCCUACCAAGGCUUUGACGGGUAGCCGGCCUGAGAGGGUGACCGGCCACAUUGGGACUGAGAUACGGCCCAGACUCCUACGGGAGGCAGCAGUGGGGAAUAUUGCACAAUGGGCGGAAGCCUGAUGCAGCAACGCCGCGUGCGGGAUGACGGCCUUCGGGUUGUAAACCGCUUUCGCCUGUGACGAAGCGUGAGUGACGGUAAUGGGUAAAGAAGCACCGGCUAACUACGUG